CGACCGGCGCACGGGUGCGUAACGCGUAUGCAACCUACCUUUAACAGGGGGAUAACACUGAGAAAUUGGUACUAAUACCCCAUAAUAUCAUAGAAGGCAUCUUUUAUGGUUGAAAAUUCCGAUGGUUAGAGAUGGGCAUGCGUUGUAUUAGCUAGUUGGUGAGGUAACGGCUCACCAAGGCAACGAUACAUAGGGGGACUGAGAGGUUAACCCCCCACAUUGGUACUGAGACACGGACCAA
RNAcentral lists this ribosomal RNA (241 nucleotides) under uncultured bacterium. RNAcentral describes it as "partial 16S ribosomal RNA". It matches the Rfam family "Bacterial small subunit ribosomal RNA", at positions 92 to 334 of the family's 1533-position model. The record is from RNAcentral.